UCUUAAUACUGUGUAUUUGUUUAGCAUCAAUGACAGCAUGCAGUCUUGUGUAAUAGUUGUCUGAGGCCCCUAAUCUUGCAGUUGGUAUAGCUGGCCAUUCGUCUUGGGAAAAUGCCUCCAGGUCAUAGUUACAUAGCUGAAAAGAGACUUGCGUCCAUCAAGUUCAGCCUUCCUCACAUUUGUUUUUUGCUGUUGAUCCAAAAAAAGGCAAAAAAAACAGUUUGAAG
Pelobates cultripes (western spadefoot toad) is the source of this 227-nucleotide non-coding RNA. NCBI's taxonomy places the organism in Eukaryota, Metazoa, Chordata, Amphibia, Anura, Pelobatidae. The record is from the annotation of a GenBank genome assembly.